Molecule: unclassified non-coding RNA, 488 nt
Filed under: Magallana dianbaiensis
Lineage: Eukaryota; Metazoa; Mollusca; Bivalvia; Ostreida; Ostreidae
Description: ITS1-type A4
Source: RNAcentral
ACAAAACAGAAAAAAAGCAUCGGGCUCGUUGGCAGAGCACCGACCAAGGGCAAAAAAACACAGCCGAGGGGGUUGCUGCUGUUUCAGACAAGCAAAAAAAGAAUGCCGGAUCGACGUCGAGCGACCAGGUCGCGAGGCCGAGGGAUCCAGGCGACUCGCGGGAGGGUUUUUCAACUCUCCUGCGCCUUGGGCCGUCGAAGCACCCAAAUUUUGUUUGGGGGGCUCCGUCGCCUUAAGUAAUGACGAGCUCGACCGCGACUCCGGGCUUACUUGGAACGGUGGGUCGCAAAAACAAAACACAAAAGCACUCGGCAUCGUCGGGAGGUUGGCCUCGACGUUAUAAGCACCCGAGUAUGUACUUUCUCACGUAUACCGAUAGUUUGUUUCUUGAAAAAACAAAACCCGGGUGCGGAGAACCUGGGGGUCGGCCGGCGUACCUCGUUGCGCGCCGCGACCGACCGAAUUGGCAUCUAUUACUAUUAUUUUGA